RNAcentral lists this transfer RNA (69 nucleotides) under Meriones unguiculatus (Mongolian gerbil). RNAcentral describes it as "tRNA (ENSMUGG00000000035.1)". It matches the Rfam family "tRNA". Rfam says of the family: Transfer RNA (tRNA) molecules are approximately 80 nucleotides in length. Lineage: Eukaryota; Metazoa; Chordata; Mammalia; Rodentia; Muridae. RNAcentral also lists the same sequence under 1 other name. The record is from RNAcentral.
GUUCCUAUAGUUGAAUAACAACGAUGGUUUUUCAUACCUUUGGUCAUAGUUUAAUUCUAUGUGGGAAUU